ACAUUAAUUUCCAUAUUGUCUAAACGACUGGAAAAAACUUGAGCCCCUGCCCCUGUAUAAUCAUGUGCACGUCCCUGUUCUAGCUCCAAGGUGAAUCUUGACUGCUCAUGUUCUCCUCAGAAGCAGUCACCUCACUCCCCUCAGGUUACUGUACACAUGCACCAACUGCCUGCUUCAGGUUUGGAUGGAGCUUCAUGGUUGUCUUUUGGAGAAAUGAGCAGUCAAGUUGUGUUUGAAAUUUCAUUUUUUUCAGGGGCAAAAGGAAGUCUCUGCAUUGUUGUCAAAUAUGUAAAUAGCAUGUUUUUGCAGGUGCUGAAAAACAGACUCUGAGUGUGUUGUGUGUGUGUGUGUGUGUGUGUGUGUGUGUGUGUGUGUGUGUGUGUGUGUGUGUGUGUGUGUGUGUGUGUGUCUGUGUGUGUGUGUGUCUGUGUGUGUGUAUCCUGCAGUACUCUGUACUCCUGCAGUGGCCAAAACGACUUUUAAGAAUGUGGAUAUUUGGGUCAUCUUUGGCGCCCCCUAGAACGUAAACCAUGGGGUGCAGCGGCAUGAUUUUUACAACUUUGACUGGCCAUGGGGUGUAGAUUGGCCUGAGCAAAUUUGGUGUCAGUGGGCCGGAAGCCUUAGGAGGAGUUAGCCACAUUCCAAUGUGUGCGAAUCGGCAAAAAAUGCAAAAUAGCCGUUUAGCCGUACAUUUUACAGAUACGCGCGCAUUGACUUUUUCGUAGAUCUUAUUGAGAUACACGUGUGUGUCAAAUUUUGUGUCAUUUUGACAAAGCAUACAGGCGUGAAUCUCAACAAUGUGUAUUUUCACCUUAGGGGACAAGAAAAAAUUGAUUUUUUGUCCUGCCAUGGGGGGCCGCUCUUUUGGGGAGUAAAAAUUCCUUUACAAAUGUGUUGAUGGCUGGACAUUGCAUCAUCCUAGAAAACUUGGAGGCCAGUGAGGACAAAAAAAAAAAGUUAUAAAACUUUUAAGAAUGUGGAUUUUUGGGUUAUUUUUGGCGCCCCCUAGAACCUAAACCAUGGAGUGCAGCAUCAUGAUUUGUACAACUUUGAAUGGCCAUGGAGUGUAGAUUGGCCUGAGCAAAUGUGGUGCCGGUGGAACGAAAGCCUUCGGAGGAGUUAGCGAAAUUCCAAUGUGUGCGGAUCUGCAAAAAAUGCGAAAUAACCCUUUAACCGUACAUUUGACAGAUAUGCCCGCACUGACUUUUUUGUAGAUCUUAUUGAGAUACAUGUGUGUGUCAAUUUUUGUGUCAAUAUGACAAAGCGUACAGGCGUGACAGUCAAUAGUGUGAAUUUUCACCUUAGGGGGCGCUAUGGAGCCAUUUUGCAUUUUAUUGUUUGGGCGACUUCAGAAUAUCGAAUUUUUCACCAGGCCCGGUCGUCCUGCCAAAUUUCCUGAGUUUUCGCCAGUGGGAAGUGGGCCAUUUUCCCCUUCAAAGGGGAGGAAAAAUAAGAAGAAAGAAAGAAAGAAAGAAAGAAGAAAGAAAAACCUAUACAGGAAUAAUAGGGCUCUACGCCCGGCUGCUCUGCAGCUGGCUCGGGCCCUAAUAAUAAGAAGAAGAAGAAGAAAGAAGAAUCCAUCAGGAAUAAUAGGGCUCUCGCAGCUGCUUAGCAGCUACGCUCGGGCCCUAAUAACUAGGGCCCCGGUGGGGCACUGUCGGGCCCGAGCCGCGUCGUGCCGCCCCCAGCGUGACCGCCUCCCCCUCCCGAUCGCGUCACACUCAAGGUCCAAAGAUGGUGUGCGCACUUGUCUGUGGUCAUUUCCCACUAUAAUGAAUGGGAGGCGCAGUUUCUACCAAAACACUCGCUGCAGACAAACUUCAUGUCCUAUUUGAAAAAAGUCUGGACCAUGAGUGAGGGCACAAACACAGCUGGGAUAUAUCCAAAUGGCAGGUUGCUCCUCCUUACGGUGUUGCCUGGAGAGCGAUGCGAUUGAGCCAUUGAGCGAUGGGCAGGAAAAA
RNAcentral lists this long non-coding RNA (1961 nucleotides) under Xyrichtys novacula (pearly razorfish). Lineage: Eukaryota; Metazoa; Chordata; Actinopteri; Labriformes; Labridae. The record is from RNAcentral.